This 73-nucleotide transfer RNA is filed under the name Pelusios castaneus (West African mud turtle). RNAcentral describes it as "tRNA-Trp". Lineage: Eukaryota; Metazoa; Chordata; Testudines; Pelomedusidae. The record is from RNAcentral.
AGAAACUUAGGAUCAUUGACCCAAUCCAGAAGCCUUCAAAGCUUCAAACAAGAGACAGACCUCUUAGUUUCUG